UGACCAUAUCGCAUUGAAACACCGUUUCUCGUACGAUCACUCAAGUUAAGCAAUGUCGAGCCUGGUCAGUACCUAAAUUGGUGACCACUUCGGAAUACACGGUGCU
Acanthosepion pharaonis is the source of this 106-nucleotide non-coding RNA. The record is from the annotation of a GenBank genome assembly. Lineage: Eukaryota; Metazoa; Mollusca; Cephalopoda; Sepiida; Sepiidae.